This 944-nucleotide long non-coding RNA is filed under the name Mus caroli (Ryukyu mouse). RNAcentral's name for it is "lncRNA (MGP_CAROLIEiJ_G0013265.1)". Lineage: Eukaryota; Metazoa; Chordata; Mammalia; Rodentia; Muridae. The record is from RNAcentral.
GAGAGGGAAGUGUUAACUCUCAGGGGAGCCAUAAGCCCUGCCCAAGAGUAAGGAGGACGCCUCCCCUCCUUCUCCAGGUUCCUCCUUCCGAUUCUUCCCCCGGAAGCCUCUGCAAAGCCCAGUUUCCAGAACCACCAGCACUGUCCCACGUAAGGCUCACCAUGCAGAGUGGAUGGAUACAGAGAGCUUCCUUCCGCCUUAAAGAUUGUGCACCUGUUUAGCGUGGCCCCAAGGCUAGGGCUGUGCAUGUCACACACACGAAGACACUGGUGGACUGAGCUUUCUGAGCAGGUCUCGAUUCCGCCAGUCAGCAGUCUGAAAGUUCAGGAUCUCCUGAUCAGAAGCAGGACAUCCAUAUGCAGGCUGCACUGGAGGCCGCGCUUUUGAAAAGUUGAAACAAAGCACAAAGGAAGUGGUCCCCAGUCGGAUCAGGCCUGGUGGUGGAGGAGAGAACAGAGAAGGAAGCCUGCUGCUCUGAGGGAGGACCAGAAGAGUAGGCGCUAUGAGUCCUUGGCUCUUGCGCGCAGGCUGAAAUCAUCAUUGAACGGAAACAACAAACAGUAAAGAGAUGCUAGCUGCCACGCAGCAGAGAGAGAGAGAGAGAGAGACGUAGAAGAUGUCCACCCAAGCAGCAAUCUCUGGAAGCCUUCGGGUGGAUCAGGCACAGGCAGUGUUCACUCACUUCUAAUGAGCUUCAUGAUACCCAGACAGAGUCUUCAACGCAUGUUGAUCACCAGCUAUGAGUCAAAUCAAUGGCAAAGACUCCCUCAAAGCCUUGCUCUAAUGACACAAUCCUUAGCGUCUGGAUGAAUCCUCCAUCUCCUCUAGGCUUCUCCUACUCAGUCUCCCUAGUUUGCAGAAAGAUGUGGGACCUAAGGGCGGCAGGAGGGACCUUUCUUUACACUGUUACUGAUACAGGAUAAAUAACCCUCGGUUCCUUAAAC